Molecule: long non-coding RNA, 300 nt
Filed under: Drosophila guanche
Lineage: Eukaryota; Metazoa; Arthropoda; Insecta; Diptera; Drosophilidae
Source: RNAcentral
GGCUGCCUGGGCUGCUGCUAGUUUGUGGGUCGGCCAGCCAUUCAGUUUGUAGACCGCCGCAGCGCGCGUAUAAAUAAAUAUUUACAACUCGUUUGCCGCAGCCAAAGGCAAACCCUGCGACAGCGAACGAAAUGGAGUUGGAGACGUAGACGUGGGCAUUGGCCGUAGCCCGUUUGCCUGUAUCCUGAGCUGCGGCUAUGGCUGGUGUUGAAGCGUUCAAGGACCUGCCCACCAGGUAAGCUGCGACUCGCUUGAACACCUUUCGCGGCUGCUGGCUUUGGCUGUUGCUCCAGCUCCUGC